RNAcentral lists this ribosomal RNA (484 nucleotides) under uncultured bacterium. RNAcentral describes it as "partial 16S ribosomal RNA". It matches the Rfam family "Bacterial small subunit ribosomal RNA", at positions 30 to 507 of the family's 1533-position model. The record is from RNAcentral.
AUUGAACGCUGGCGGCAGGCCUAACACAUGCAAGUCGAGCGGAGGAAGGGAGCUUGCUCAUGGAUUCAGCGGAGGACGGGUGAGUAAUUCCUAUGAAUCUGCCUGGUAGUGGGGGAUAACGUCCGGAAACGGGCGCUAAUACCGCAUGCGUCGUGAGGGAGAACCUGGGGGAUCUUCGGAUCUCACGCUAUCAGAUGAGCCUAGGUCGGAUUAGCUAGUUGGUGGGGUUAAGGCCUACCAAGGCGACGAUCCGUAACUGGUCUGAGAGGAUGAUCAGUCACACUGGAACUGAGACACGGUCCAGACUCCUACGGGAGGCAGCAGUGGGGAAUAUUGGACAAUGGGCGAAAGCCUGAUCCAGCCAUGCCGCGUGUGUGAAGAAGGUCUUCGGAUUGUAAAGCACUUUAAGUUGGGAGGAAGGGCAGUAAGUUAAUACCUUGCUGUUUUGACGUUACCAACAGAAUAAGCACCGGCUAACUUCGUG